AGAAAGUGUACCUAGGGUUCCACACCCGGUUUUCAGGGUGGCUCGGUCCGAGCGGUACAGGCCCGGAAAAUGCAGUUUUCCGGGUUACACCGGCAGGGAGAAAAGCCCAGGCGGU
RNAcentral lists this small RNA (115 nucleotides) under Desulfofundulus kuznetsovii. RNAcentral's name for it is "Desulfotomaculum kuznetsovii Guanidine-I sequence". It matches the Rfam family "Guanidine-I riboswitch aptamer". From Rfam's summary of the family: This family represents a conserved RNA structure found upstream of the ykkC and yxkD genes in Bacillus subtilis and related genes in other bacteria. The function of this family is unclear although it has been suggested that it may function to switch on efflux pumps and detoxification systems in response to harmful environmental molecules. The record is from RNAcentral. Lineage: Bacteria; Bacillati; Bacillota; Clostridia; Eubacteriales; Peptococcaceae.